Molecule: ribosomal RNA, 468 nt
Filed under: uncultured bacterium
Lineage: Bacteria
Description: partial 16S ribosomal RNA
Rfam family: Bacterial small subunit ribosomal RNA
Source: RNAcentral
GACGAACGCUGGCGGCGUGCUUAACACAUGCAAGUCGAACGGAUAGGCCCUGCUUUUGUGGGGUGCUCGAGUGGCGAACGGGUGAGUAACACGUGAGUAACCUGCCCUUGACUUUGGGAUAACUUCAGGAAACUGGGGCUAAUACCGGAUAGGAGCUCCUGCUGCAUGGUGGGGGUUGGAAAGUUUCGGCGGUUGGGGAUGGACUCGCGGCUUAUCAGCUUGUUGGUGGGGUAGUGGCUUACCAAGGCUUUGACGGGUAGCCGGCCUGAGAGGGUGACCGGCCACAUUGGGACUGGGAUACGGCCCAGACUCCUACGGGAGGCAGCAGUGGGGAAUAUUGCACAAUGGGCGGAAGCCUGAUGCAGCAACGCCGCGUGCGGGAUGACGGCCUUCGGGUUGUAAACCGCUUUCGCCUGUGACGAAGCGUGAGUGACGGUAAUGGGUAAAGAAGCACCGGCUAACUACGUG